CGGUCAUCAAGCUUGCUUUGUGAAUUAUCAUUGACAAGAAUGUUAAGAGCACCAUCAAUCUUCUUGAGGGCAGGCUCUCCAAGGGUGGAGUUGUUUUAUAGAACAAAAGCCAUUAGUAACCAGUGGCUGUAGAAGAAGGAAUAAAUUAGCACAAGUCAUGAUGCAGCCAUUCUGAGGUGUCCAACGACUGCUUACUUUUAUUGGUUUUUAACCGUUGGGUGACAAUGGAAAGGUAAGAGGUGUUUUGGAAAGUGUUGUUGGUCGGUUGUUUGUUAUUGUUUCUUCG
This 286-nucleotide long non-coding RNA is filed under the name Elaeis guineensis (African oil palm). RNAcentral's name for it is "long non-coding RNA (EGUI_LNC003352)". Lineage: Eukaryota; Viridiplantae; Streptophyta; Magnoliopsida; Arecales; Arecaceae. The record is from RNAcentral.